AGUGAACGCUGGCGGUAGGCCUAACACAUGCAAGUCGAACGGCAGCACAGUAAGAGCUUGCUCUUACGGGUGGCGAGUGGCGGACGGGUGAGGAAUACAUCGGAAUCUACUUUUUCGUGGGGGAUAACGUAGGGAAACUUACGCUAAUACCGCAUACGACCUACGGGUGAAAGCAGGGGAUCUUCGGACCUUGCGCGAUUGAAUGAGCCGAUGUCGGAUUAGCUAGUUGGCGGGGUAAAGGCCCACCAAGGCGACGAUCCGUAGCUGGUCUGAGAGGAUGAUCAGCCACACUGGAACUGGGACACGGUCCAGACUCCUACGGGAGGCAGCAAUGGGGAAUAUUGGACAAUGGGCGCAAGCCUGAUCCAGCCAUACCGCGUGGGUGAAGAAGGCCUUCGGGUUGUAAAGCCCUUUUGUUGGGAAAGAAAAGCAGCAGGUUAAUACCCCGCUGUUCUGACGGUACCCAAAGAAUAAGCACCGGCUAACUUCGUG
RNAcentral lists this ribosomal RNA (492 nucleotides) under uncultured bacterium. Its description in RNAcentral is "partial 16S ribosomal RNA". It matches the Rfam family "Bacterial small subunit ribosomal RNA", at positions 29 to 507 of the family's 1533-position model. The record is from RNAcentral.